This 460-nucleotide unclassified non-coding RNA is filed under the name Hevea brasiliensis (rubber tree). Lineage: Eukaryota; Viridiplantae; Streptophyta; Magnoliopsida; Malpighiales; Euphorbiaceae. The record is from RNAcentral.
GCAAAAUGUUGCUCUUGAUUUAGCUCGGCGGGAGGCCGAAAUGGCAAUUCGCGCUCGUAAUGACUUUCUAUCCGUCAUGAACCAUGAAAUGCGGACUCCUAUGCAUGCGAUUAUCGCCUUGUCUUCGGUACUUCUGGAAACUGAACUAACUCCAGAACAGCGACUAAUGGUCGAAACCAUGCUGAAGAGUAGCAACCUGUUAGCCACUCUAAUAAACGACGUUUUAGAUCUUUCGAAACUCGAGGAUGGGAGCCUUGAGUUGGUGAUGGAAGUUUUCAAUCUUCAUGCUGUUUUCAGAGAGGUCAUUAAUUUAAUAAAGCCAAUAGCAGCUGUCAAAAAGCUCUCGGUUUCGAUAACAUUGGCACCUGACUUACCAUUGUGUGCUAUCGGUGAUGAAAAAAGGCUCAUGCAGAUUAUUUUAAAUGUUGGCAGCAAUGCUGUUAAAUUCACAAAGCAGGGC